CAGGCUUAACACAUGCAAGUUGAGGGGCAGCAUGGUCUUAGCUUGCUAAGGCCGAUGGCGACCGGCGCACGGGUGAGUAACACGUAUCCAACCUGCCGUCUACUCUUGGACAGCCUUCUGAAAGGAAGAUUAAUACAAGAUGGCAUCAUGAGUCCGCAUGUUCACAUGAUUAAAGGUAUUCCGGUAGACGAUGGGGAUGCGUUCCAUUAGAUAGUAGGCGGGGUAACGGCCCACCUAGUCUUCGAUGGAUAGGGGUUCUGAGAGGAAGGUCCCCCACAUUGGAACUGAGACACGGUCCAAACUCCUACGGGAGGCAGCAGUGAGGAAUAUUGGUCAAUGGGCGAGAGCCUGAACCAGCCAAGUAGCGUGAAGGAUGACUGCCCUAUGGGUUGUAAACUUCUUUUAUAAAGGAAUAAAGUCGGGUAUGCAUACCCGUUUGCAUGUACUUUAUGAAUAAGGAUCGGCUAACUCCGUGCCAGCAGCCGCGGUAAUACGGAGGAUCCGAGCGUUAUCCGGAUUUAUUGGGUUUAAAGGGAGCGUAGAUGGAUGUUUAAGUCAGUUGUGAAAGUUUGCGGCUCAACCGUAAAAUUGCAGUUGAUACUGGAUAUCUUGAGUGCAGUUGAGGCAGGCGGAGUUCGUGGUGUAGCGGUGAAAUGCUUAGAUAUCACGAAGAACUCCGAUUGCGAAGGCAGCCUGCUAAGCUGCAACUGACAUUGAGGCUCGAAAGUGUGGGUAUCAAACAGGAUUAGAUACCCUGGUAGUCCACACGGUAAACGAUGAAUACUCGCUGUUUGCGAUAUACGGCAAGCGGCCAAGCGAAAGCGUUAAGUAUUCCACCUGGGGAGUACGCCGGCAACGGUGAAACUCAAAGGAAUUGACGGGGGCCCGCACAAGCGGAGGAACAUGUGGUUUAAUUCGAUGAUACGCGAGGAACCUUACCCGGGCUUAAAUUGCAGAUGAAUUACGGUGAAAGCCGUAAGCCGCAAGGCAUCUGUGAAGGUGCUGCAUGGUUGUCGUUAGCUCGUGCCGUGAGGUGUCGGCUUAAGUGCCAUAACGAGCGCAACCCUUGUUGUCAGUUACUAACAGGUCAUGCUGAGGACUCUGACAAGACUGCCAUCGUAAGAUGUGAGGAAGGUGGGGAUGACGUCAAAUCAGCACGGCCCUUACGUCCGGGGCUACACACGUGUUACAAUGGGGGGUACAGAGGGCCGCUACCACGCGAGUGGAUGCCAAUCCCAAAAACCUCUCUCAGUUCGGACUGGAGUCUGCAACCCGACUCCACGAAGCUGGAUUCGCUAGUAAUCGCGCAUCAGCCACGGCGCGGUGAAUACGUUCCCGGGCCUUGUACACACCGCCCGUCAAGCCAUGGGAGCCGGGGGUACCUGAAGUGCGUAACCGCGAGGAGCGCCCUAGGGUAAAACUGGUGACUGG
This 1431-nucleotide ribosomal RNA is filed under the name uncultured organism. Its description in RNAcentral is "16S ribosomal RNA". It matches the Rfam family "Bacterial small subunit ribosomal RNA". The record is from RNAcentral.